UACAGUUCAGAGGUUCCGUUCAUUACCAUCGUGGUGGUGAGCCUGGCGGCAUGCAGGCAGACAUGGUGAUGGCUACAUCUUGAUCAGAAGGCAACAGGCAAUGCUCUUGUGAAGCUUAAGCAAAAGACACAAAACCAGCCCACCUAUAUGGAGCACUGGAACACGGCAGAGCACACAGCAAGAUGAGAGCUUGUGUGAAAAUCGGCUGAAUGUAACCCCAACACUCCAGUCGUGACAGGCAGUCCUCCAACACACGUGGAAGUGAGAAUGAUUACGUUUUGUCGAAAGUGUCUCAUUACAUUGAUUUAAAUGAGUUUUCUAAGCCCGCAAAAAGAAAAACAGCGUAAAAAUACCAUUUGUUCUAAAUAAGACGAUAAAAAGACAGGUAGUGAAAGCCUUCAGAAAUUCCAGUUAGUGAAGGGCAAAGCCUCUACCGCUGCGGACAUCUGACAGAAGGAAAAUGGAGUUCAGCAGUACUCUAGGCAGGUGUCUCACUUUUGCUUAAUGCAUCUUCAUACAUCAAACAUCCGAUAAAGGACGGGUGUUAAGAGACCUGGCUCGCAGGAUGUGCACUGCAGGGGUUGAGAUCUUCAACUUGACAAACCUGUUUCAUCUCUGACAGCAGCCGAGUGCAACGAGCUCAGAACCACUUCCUAAGAUCUCCCACACCUUCCCAGGCUAGGGGAACUGGGCUUUAAAGAAAAACAGCACGCUGAAAGCUUGACUUUAUCCACAAAAAGCAUUUCCAUUACUCUCAAGAGUCACUGAGUGAAGCCUGUAGCUCCAUGGACUAUGAGAAUCUGUCCUAGCACAAUUAGAAGACAUUGUCACACAGAACACGGCUCUGGAGGUGUCAUGUGUUAAAUGUAACGUGACCUGUAAUGUGACUGUCCUGCAUGGUAAGGCCCCCAGCAUUUGACCAUCAAAUUGUCAAUCAAAAUUCAACUUCUGAAGACUGCUGGCCCAGAGUGUGUCAAAAAGUGGAUACAAUGGAAAAUCAUUAAAAAAAAAAACUGGGUUUCUUGCUUCUUGUGAAAAACGGAAGAUUUGGCAAAAUUGAGACCAUUCCUGGGUUGGAGCCAUACCUCAAGUGAGUCAUAUGGUCACCAGUAACCUACUAGACAUCGUAUUGUCCCUCACAUCCAUCUGCCCUCACUGUCUGAUUUCCCAGCUGACCUGGGGGGCACCUACAUGUGCGUGCUCCGCAGGUCCCUUUCCUCAAGACAGCCACAGGAGUCAUCUUGGAGGAAGUGGCUUUUGGAUGGAAGAUGGAAAGACAGAAGCUGUUUGUGUGCAGUUUCUGCCUCAGCGAAGCCUCGACUCAUUGGUGCUUCCCUUCUCUGGUGCCUCUGUUUCUCUACUUGUAACCAGAAUAGACCCAGGUUUCUCUAUCUAGAUCAUCAGUCACUUGGAAUCAAGAAAAUUCAAGUUCCCAUUCAGUCCCGCCAUUUUCUUGAUGGAUGAGGUUAGAAACCUGGAACAUUUGUACAAGUGCUCAAAUUAUCCUUUUGCAAAAUGGAGAUGACAUGAAAACCUU
Molecule: long non-coding RNA, 1537 nt
Organism: Mesocricetus auratus (golden hamster)
Lineage: Eukaryota; Metazoa; Chordata; Mammalia; Rodentia; Cricetidae
Exons: 6
Source: RefSeq, a predicted model, not a curated record